RNAcentral lists this ribosomal RNA (253 nucleotides) under uncultured bacterium. RNAcentral describes it as "partial 16S ribosomal RNA". It matches the Rfam family "Bacterial small subunit ribosomal RNA", at positions 524 to 776 of the family's 1533-position model. The record is from RNAcentral.
UACGGAGGGUGCAAGCGUUAAUCGGAAUUACUGGGCGUAAAGCGCACGUAGGUGGUUUGUUAAGCUAGAUGUGAACGCCCCGGGCUCACCCUGGGAAUUGCAUUUAGAACUGGCAAGCUAGAGUAGGGUAGAGGGGUGUGGAAUUCCAGGUGUAGCGGUGAAAUGCGUAGAUAUCUGGAGGAACAGCAGUGGCGAAGGCGGCAACCGGGACUCAUACUGACACCGAGGUGCGAAAGCGUGGGGAGCAAACAGG